UAUUGCCUGUCCCGUGCGCAGGCGGAGUGUGAAACUUUGAGCCAACACCAAUAAAAAGGGAGCCAAGUCUGACAUACAAGACAUGCCGGAAACGGAAGUCGCGGUGUUCAGCGAGGCACCCACCUGUUAAUACGGGUCUCAAAAGUUGCACCGCCUACGGCGGGACGGGUAAAAG
Molecule: non-coding RNA, 175 nt
Filed under: Pseudomonadota bacterium
Lineage: Bacteria; Pseudomonadati; Pseudomonadota
Also listed under: 1 other name
Description: 6S RNA
Rfam family: 6S / SsrS RNA
About the family: E. coli 6S RNA was the first non coding RNA to be sequenced, but its function was unknown until recently. It consists of 184 nucleotides that fold into an extended hairpin structure with a large single-stranded internal bulge. The 6S RNA specifically associates with RNA polymerase holoenzyme containing the sigma70 specificity factor.
Source: RNAcentral